AUCGUUCAAAGGCGAUAAACCCGUAAACAGGUUUGGAACUUUUACUUUUGUGAAGACCUAUUUCAACCCAGCUACUAUAAAGCCACCUUCACAACCAAGCGUCACCACCACCAGUACAGCAUGCUCUGUUAAACAGCUUGGCUAUGUAGUUUUUGCUAUGAUCCUUGUAAAUUUUUGUUGGUAAUUUUUUACAAAUAUUUGCACAAACAUAUACGUUUUAGAAACAUGUUCUAAGAACCAAUGUAAACAGAUUGUAAACAUAUAAUUUUUAAGAGAACUUGUUCUCAAAAACCUGAAAACAUUUUUGACAUAAUUCAUGCCGCCAAUUCUACCAAUAAUUGACACUUUGUGACAACUGUGAUAAAGUUGUAUAAAAGAUAGUAACAGAGAUGGUAAAUGAAAAGUAAUGGUAUAAAAUGAAAGCCUGAAGCCUCCUUACGGAAUACUUCUCUAUAAUACAGAUUGUUUAUGGACAGCGGACACUUAAUCUCUUACCUGGAGUGAAAACAUAUUGUAGAAUAAUAUACAGUGCAUAACGGAUAUAAUGUAGUUUAAUUAAAAAUCACCAUUAGUGAAUAUAGAUCUGUAGUUUUUUAUUUAUUCUUUUAAGAUCGACUUUCUAUUUCCGUGCGCCUACAUAGCGUUGUUCUUUCUAUUUAUAAUAAUAAUAAAAUAUAAUAAGUUUGUCACAGUUCACAUAUUAUG
Molecule: non-coding RNA, 705 nt
Organism: Paramuricea clavata
Lineage: Eukaryota; Metazoa; Cnidaria; Anthozoa; Malacalcyonacea; Plexauridae
Source: the annotation of a GenBank genome assembly